This 362-nucleotide ribosomal RNA is filed under the name uncultured Archaeorhizomycetes. Its description in RNAcentral is "eukaryotic LSU rRNA". It matches the Rfam family "Eukaryotic large subunit ribosomal RNA", at positions 72 to 432 of the family's 3401-position model. The record is from RNAcentral. Lineage: Eukaryota; Fungi; Ascomycota; Archaeorhizomycetes.
GGAUUCCCCCAGUAGUGGCGAAUGAAGCGGGAAAAGCUCAAGUUUGAAAUCUGAAGUCCACUUCAGAGUUGUAAGCUGAAGAGGUGUCGACCGACUUGGUCCGGGCCCAACUUCCUUGGAACAGGAGGUCAUGGAGGGUGAGAACCCCGUCUGUGGCUCGGGUGCCGUAGUCCUUGUGUCGUGCCCUCGAAGAGUCGGGUUGUUUGGGAAUGCAGCUCAAAAUGGGUGGUAAAUUUCAUCUAAGGCUAAAUAUUGGCGAGAGACCGAUAGCAAACAAGUAGAGUGAUCGAAAGAUGAAAAGUACUUUGAAAAGAGAGUGAAACAGUACGUGAAAUUGUUGAAAGGGAAGCGUUUGGCAUCAG